GAUGAACGCUAGCGGCAGGCCUAAUACAUGCAAGUCGAGGGGCAGCGCGGUAGCAAUACUGGCGGCGACCGGCGCACGGGUGCGUAACACGUAUGCAACCUACCUUCAACUGGAGGAUAGCCCGGGGAAACUCGGAUUAAUACUCCAUAACACAGGGAUCCCGCAUGGGAAUAUUGUUAAAGCUACGGCGGUUGAAGAUGGGCAUGCGUUCGAUUAGCUAGUUGGUGUAGGUAACGGCUCACCAAGGCUACGAUCGAUAGGGGGUCUGAGAGGAUGAUCCCCCACACUGGUACUGAGAUACGGACCAGACUCCUACGGGAGCAGCAGUAGGGAAUAUUGGUCAAUGGGCGCAAGCCUGAACCAGCCAUGCCGCGUGCAGGAAGAAGGCCCUCUGGGUUGUAAACUGCUUUUGAUAGGGACAAAUGCCACUUGCGAGUGGAGCUGAGUGUACCUAUAGAAUAAGCACCGGCUAACUCCGUGCCAGCAGCC
This 489-nucleotide ribosomal RNA is filed under the name uncultured bacterium. Its description in RNAcentral is "bacterial SSU rRNA". It matches the Rfam family "Bacterial small subunit ribosomal RNA", at positions 28 to 516 of the family's 1533-position model. The record is from RNAcentral.